GGGGAUAUAGCUCAGCUGGGAGAGCGCUUCGUUCGCAUCGAAGAGGUCAGGGGUUCGAGUCCCCUUAUCUCCACCA
This 76-nucleotide transfer RNA is filed under the name bacterium SCN 62-11. Its description in RNAcentral is "tRNA-Ala". It matches the Rfam family "tRNA". Rfam says of the family: Transfer RNA (tRNA) molecules are approximately 80 nucleotides in length. Their secondary structure includes four short double-helical elements and three loops (D, anti-codon, and T loops). RNAcentral also lists the same sequence under 2 other names. The record is from RNAcentral.